Molecule: transfer-messenger RNA, 373 nt
Filed under: Paractinoplanes tereljensis
Lineage: Bacteria; Bacillati; Actinomycetota; Actinomycetes; Micromonosporales; Micromonosporaceae
Description: Actinoplanes tereljensis transfer-messenger RNA
Rfam family: transfer-messenger RNA
About the family: Bacterial tmRNA, also known as 10Sa RNA or SsrA, is named for its dual tRNA and mRNA-like properties. Its role is to liberate the mRNA from a stalled ribosome. To accomplish this part of the tmRNA is used as a reading frame that ends in a translation stop signal.
Source: RNAcentral
GGGGGUGACUGGUUUCGACUUCGUACGUGGAGACAGGGGAAGCGAGCCGAGGAAGCCGACGUCGUCUCGAGAAUCGGUCGUCGGAAACUUAUAAGCGCCGAUACCAAUCGCGCUGACUACGCUCUCGCCGCCUGAGGCAAGUAGCGUGUCUGUCGGACCGGGAGCGCCUCCGUCCCGGAUCACCGGCAUCAGCUAGGAGGCUGGUCAAUCGGUCCCAGUCGUGAGGACCCUGCGACGAGAUUAAACACGACUGGCCCCGUCAUACCGACUUGCUCAUGUGAUCGGUAGGGGCGAGUAGAGGCAUAGUGAGCUGCGCUCGGAGAAGCCCUGACAAAACAACGAAGGACCCGGGUUCGAUUCCCGGCACCUCCAC